AUGAACGCUGGCGGCGUGCCUAAUACAUCCAAGUCGAGCGAACGGACGAGAAGCUUGCUUCUCUGAUGUUAGCGGCGGACGGGUGAGUAACACGUGGAUAACCUACCUAUAAGACUGGGAUAACUUCGGGAAACCGGAGCUAAUACCGGAUAAUAUUUUGAACCGCAUGGUUCAAAAGUGAAAGACGGUCUUGCUGUCACUUAUAGAUGGAUCCGCGCUGCAUUAGCUAGUUGGUAAGGUAACGGCUUACCAAGGCAACGAUGCAUAGCCGACCUGAGAGGGUGAUCGGCCACACUGGAACUGAGACACGGUCCAGACUCCUACGGGAGGCAGCAGUAGGGAAUCUUCCGCAAAGGGCGAAAGCCUGACGGAGCAACGCCGCGUGAGUGAUGAAGGUCUUCGGAUCGUAAAACUCUGUUAUUAGGGAAGAACAUAUGUGUAAGUAACUGUGCACAUCUUGACGGUACCUAAUCAGAAAGCCACGGCUAACUACGUG
RNAcentral lists this ribosomal RNA (496 nucleotides) under uncultured bacterium. Its description in RNAcentral is "partial 16S ribosomal RNA". It matches the Rfam family "Bacterial small subunit ribosomal RNA", at positions 29 to 507 of the family's 1533-position model. The record is from RNAcentral.